RNAcentral lists this long non-coding RNA (943 nucleotides) under Canis lupus familiaris (dog). RNAcentral describes it as "lncRNA (ENSCAFG00030023076.1)". Lineage: Eukaryota; Metazoa; Chordata; Mammalia; Carnivora; Canidae. The record is from RNAcentral.
CUUCAAAGUUGGGUGACUCACCAGCUUUAUAACAGUAAGCACCACAGUGCACAUAAAAGAAAGAACUUUUCCCAGACAUUACCUACAGUAGAAUUUUCUCCAAGUCCUUUUCCAGAAAGCAAGAAAGAAACAACACAAAGGAUUAACCUAGUUGCAGAAAGAGCAGUAAAGGACUCUGGCAAGGCAGUUCUCUCUGGCAGGGAGAACAACCUGGGAAGUAAAUGUUCUUUUGCCAUGCUUUAUCCAGAGUGCUUGGUUUGUACGAGUGUCUGCAAGCUGACUCCUGGAAACGGAGAAUCACCUGCUGCCCCAAACAGUGAGUCAAGUUUUCUUUUAGACUCCUUACAGCUUUACCGUAGCUAUUUGCUAUUCCUACAUCCUAUUUCUUUACAGCUGUAUCCUUAGUAUGGUGACAGCUGGCUACUAUGACUUGUCUGCAAACCUUGUCAUGGAGUAUACUGGGCUAGGUUAGAAAUAUAUUAAAAUUUCAUAGGAAACUUCUGAAAUGUCUUGGCAUUUAUUCAUAGAACUCCAUAUAUAUUGGGAAAGAAAAGGGGAUUAACUUUUGUUGCUAUCCUUUCCACGUGCCUGUAACUCUGUUAGGCAAUAGGAAGUAUUUUACCAGAUUUAAAUCUGCAACUCUCCUCUAAAAUAUCCAUAUUCUCAGUUUACCUACAACAUUCAAGGGGUUUUGCAAAGGUCAGGCAGCUAAUAAAUCUGCUACCGCACUACACCACAUUUUUCUACCAUAUCAUUUGGCUGAACCUUUGAGAAGAGUUUCAUGGCAGAUGAACAUGUAGCAUCUUUCAAAUCCCACUGAAAAGAUAGCUAGCUACUUUGCCUAUGACCUUUCCCAGACCAAAAAUGUUAGAAGGAAUCUUGAACAAAAUCUUAUAUAUCUUACUCAAUCCACAGUCAGCCUUUAUUGGGUACCUGCAAUGGG